This 252-nucleotide ribosomal RNA is filed under the name uncultured bacterium. Its description in RNAcentral is "partial 16S ribosomal RNA". It matches the Rfam family "Bacterial small subunit ribosomal RNA", at positions 524 to 776 of the family's 1533-position model. The record is from RNAcentral.
UACGUAGGGAGCGAGCGUUAUCCGGAUUUAUUGGGUUUAAAGGGUGCGUAGGCGGACUGUCAAGUCAGCGGUAAAAUUGAGAGGCUCAACCUCUUCCCGCCGUUGAAACUGGUGGUCUUGAGUGGAUGAGAAGUACGCGGAAUGCGUGGUGUAGCGGUGAAAUGCAUAGAUAUCACGCAGAACUCCGAUUGCGAAGGCAGCGUACCGGCAUCCAACUGACGCUGAGGCUCGAAAGCGUGGGGAGCAAACAGG